CGAGCGGAAACGAGUUAUCUGAACCUUCGGGGAACGAUAACGGCGUCGAGCGGCGGACGGGUGAGUAAUGCCUAGGAAAUUGCCCUGAUGUGGGGGAUAACCAUUGGAAACGAUGGCUAAUACCGCAUGAUGCCUACGGGCCAAAGAGGGGGACCUUCGGGCCUCUCGCGUCAGGAUAUGCCUAGGUGGGAUUAGCUAGUUGGUGAGGUAAGGGCUCACCAAGGCAACGAUCCCUAGCUGGUCUGAGAGGAUGAUCAGCCACACUGGAACUGAGACACGGUCCAGACUCCUACGGGAGGCAGCAGUGGGGAAUAUUGCACAAUGGGCGCAAGCCUGAUGCACCCAUGCCGCGUGUGUGAAGAAGGCCUUCGGGUUGUAAAG
RNAcentral lists this ribosomal RNA (381 nucleotides) under Vibrio alginolyticus. RNAcentral's name for it is "bacterial SSU rRNA". It matches the Rfam family "Bacterial small subunit ribosomal RNA", at positions 63 to 430 of the family's 1533-position model. Lineage: Bacteria; Pseudomonadati; Pseudomonadota; Gammaproteobacteria; Vibrionales; Vibrionaceae. The record is from RNAcentral.